This 2923-nucleotide ribosomal RNA is filed under the name Klebsiella pneumoniae. RNAcentral's name for it is "bacterial LSU rRNA". It matches the Rfam family "Bacterial large subunit ribosomal RNA". The record is from RNAcentral. Lineage: Bacteria; Pseudomonadati; Pseudomonadota; Gammaproteobacteria; Enterobacterales; Enterobacteriaceae.
GGGUUGUGAGGUUAAGCGACUAAGCGUACACGGUGGAUGCCCUGGCAGUCAGAGGCGAUGAAGGACGUGCUAAUCUGCGAAAAGCGUCGGUAAGGUGAUAUGAACCGUUACAGCCGGCGAUGUCCGAAUGGGGAAACCCAGUGCAAUUCGUUGCACUAUCGUUAACUGAAUACAUAGGUUAACGAGGCGAACCGGGGGAACUGAAACAUCUAAGUACCCCGAGGAAAAGAAAUCAACCGAGAUUCCCCCAGUAGCGGCGAGCGAACGGGGAGCAGCCCAGAGUCUGAAUCAGCUUGUGUGUUAGUGGAACGGUCUGGAAAGUCCGACGGUACAGGGUGAUAGUCCCGUACACCAAAAUGCACAGGUUGUGAACUCGAAGAGUAGGGCGGGACACGUGGUAUCCUGUCUGAAUAUGGGGGGACCAUCCUCCAAGGCUAAAUACUCCUGACUGACCGAUAGUGAACCAGUACCGUGAGGGAAAGGCGAAAAGAACCCCGGCGAGGGGAGUGAAAAAGAACCUGAAACCGUGUACGUACAAGCAGUGGGAGCACCUUCGGGUGUGACUGCGUACCUUUUGUAUAAUGGGUCAGCGACUUAUAUUCUGUAGCAAGGUUAACCGUAUAGGGGAGCCGCAGGGAAACCGAGUCUUAACUGGGCGUUAAGUUGCAGGGUAUAGACCCGAAACCCGGUGAUCUAGCCAUGGGCAGGUUGAAGGUUGGGUAACACUAACUGGAGGACCGAACCGACUAAUGUUGAAAAAUUAGCGGAUGACUUGUGGCUGGGGGUGAAAGGCCAAUCAAACCGGGAGAUAGCUGGUUCUCCCCGAAAGCUAUUUAGGUAGCGCCUCGUGAACUCAUCUUCGGGGGUAGAGCACUGUUUCGGCUAGGGGGUCAUCCCGACUUACCAACCCGAUGCAAACUACGAAUACCGAAGAAUGUUAUCACGGGAGACACACGGCGGGUGCUAACGUCCGUCGUGAAGAGGGAAACAACCCAGACCGCCAGCUAAGGUCCCAAAGUCAUGGUUAAGUGGGAAACGAUGUGGGAAGGCACAGACAGCCAGGAUGUUGGCUUAGAAGCAGCCAUCAUUUAAAGAAAGCGUAAUAGCUCACUGGUCGAGUCGGCCUGCGCGGAAGAUGUAACGGGGCUAAACCAUGCACCGAAGCUGCGGCAGCGACACUAUGUGUUGUUGGGUAGGGGAGCGUUCUGUAAGCCUGCGAAGGUGACCUGUGAGGGUUGCUGGAGGUAUCAGAAGUGCGAAUGCUGACAUAAGUAACGAUAAAGCGGGUGAAAAGCCCGCUCGCCGGAAGACCAAGGGUUCCUGUCCAACGUUAAUCGGGGCAGGGUGAGUCGACCCCUAAGGCGAGGCCGAAAGGCGUAGUCGAUGGGAAACAGGUUAAUAUUCCUGUACUUGGUGUUACUGCGAAGGGGGGACGGAGAAGGCUAUGUUAGCCGGGCGACGGUUGUCCCGGUUUAAGCAUGUAGGCUGGUUAUCCAGGCAAAUCCGGAUAAUCAAGGCUGAGGUGUGAUGACGAGGCACUACGGUGCUGAAGUAACAAAUGCCCUGCUUCCAGGAAAAGCCUCUAAGCAUCAGGUAACAUCAAAUCGUACCCCAAACCGACACAGGUGGUCAGGUAGAGAAUACCAAGGCGCUUGAGAGAACUCGGGUGAAGGAACUAGGCAAAAUGGUGCCGUAACUUCGGGAGAAGGCACGCUGGUGUGUAGGUGAAGUCCCUGCGGAUGGAGCUGAGACCAGUCGAAGAUACCAGCUGGCUGCAACUGUUUAUUAAAAACACAGCACUGUGCAAACACGAAAGUGGACGUAUACGGUGUGACGCCUGCCCGGUGCCGGAAGGUUAAUUGAUGGGGUUAUCCGUAAGGAGAAGCUCUUGAUCGAAGCCCCGGUAAACGGCGGCCGUAACUAUAACGGUCCUAAGGUAGCGAAAUUCCUUGUCGGGUAAGUUCCGACCUGCACGAAUGGCGUAAUGAUGGCCAGGCUGUCUCCACCCGAGACUCAGUGAAAUUGAACUCGCUGUGAAGAUGCAGUGUACCCGCGGCAAGACGGAAAGACCCCGUGAACCUUUACUAUAGCUUGACACUGAACAUUGAGCCUUGAUGUGUAGGAUAGGUGGGAGGCUUUGAAGCGUGGACGCCAGUCUGCGUGGAGCCAACCUUGAAAUACCACCCUUUAAUGUUUGAUGUUCUAACGUUGGCCCCUUACCGGGGUUGCGGACAGUGUCUGGUGGGUAGUUUGACUGGGGCGGUCUCCUCCCAAAGCGUAACGGAGGAGCACGAAGGUUAGCUAAUCCUGGUCGGACAUCAGGAGGUUAGUGCAAUGGCAUAAGCUAGCUUGACUGCGAGCGUGACGGCGCGAGCAGGUGCGAAAGCAGGUCAUAGUGAUCCGGUGGUUCUGAAUGGAAGGGCCAUCGCUCAACGGAUAAAAGGUACUCCGGGGAUAACAGGCUGAUACCGCCCAAGAGUUCAUAUCGACGGCGGUGUUUGGCACCUCGAUGUCGGCUCAUCACAUCCUGGGGCUGAAGUAGGUCCCAAGGGUAUGGCUGUUCGCCAUUUAAAGUGGUACGCGAGCUGGGUUUAGAACGUCGUGAGACAGUUCGGUCCCUAUCUGCCGUGGGCGCUGGAGAAUUGAGGGGGGCUGCUCCUAGUACGAGAGGACCGGAGUGGACGCAUCACUGGUGUUCGGGUUGUCAUGCCAAUGGCACUGCCCGGUAGCUAAAUGCGGAAGAGAUAAGUGCUGAAAGCAUCUAAGCACGAAACUUGCCCCGAGAUGAGUUCUCCCUGAGACUUUAAGUCUCCUGAAGGAACGUUAAAGACGAUGACGUUGAUAGGCCGGGUGUGUAAGCGCAGCGAUGCGUUGAGCUAACCGGUACUAAUGAACCGUGAGGCUUAACCUUACAACGCCGAAG